UUUUGACGAAAGAACGACGUCGAAGUUGAGACGACACGGAAAUAUCGCGCAUGGGCGGAUCCGACCGAUUCGAAUCUCGCGCGGCGCGACGAAAGCGCCGGAAAGCGAGCUGGGUUCGAGGCUCGCUCGCUCGCAAGUCCGUGGAUGUGAACCUUUGUUUUGUACAUUUGCACAAAAGUAAUGGCUACCACAUCUAGUUUUCGAGUAAUGUUUUCCGCGGAGAGCCCGGAUUCCCGUGUUUAUCGCGGUAUUUAAUAACGCAAGAUCGGCUUGCGCAACGCAUCGGCGUCGGCCGAGAUGCGUGCGGUAUCUAUACACGAGCUGUUUCGACUGCCUUAGUGUCAUUUUCGUCGAAAAAUGCCUGUGUUUACAUCCGAAUUGCGACCGAGCUUCUGUGUUCCUGUCACAUUAAGUUGGUUUUAGGUGGUUCUUGUUGAAAAUUGAUUCUAAAUCCAAUGGAAGUUUCUUGUGGCAAUAAUAGAAUAAAUCAAUCAUCUAAAAUGAAAAUGAAACCAUUCGCUGUACCUCUCUGGAAGAGAUACUUAAGUUUCUUUAAGUAACUAUAGGAAGGCCUCCAAACACAUUUGCCCAAGGAUUACUAUCAGACAUUUGUCUUGAAUAAAAUUUAUUAUCAACACAAAUCAAGACGCAACAAUUUCUGGCAUUAUGUCUUUUUUU
This is a long non-coding RNA of Formica exsecta, 678 nucleotides long. RefSeq lists it as uncharacterized. NCBI's taxonomy places the organism in Eukaryota, Metazoa, Arthropoda, Insecta, Hymenoptera, Formicidae. The transcript has 4 exons. The record is from RefSeq and is a predicted model, not a curated record.